CCCUUAGAUGUUCUGGGCUGCACGCGCGCUACACUGAUACUUUCAGCGAGUCCACCACCUUGCCUAAGAGGGUGGGGUAACCUCUGGAAAGUGUAUCGUGAUGGGGAUCGAUUAUUGUAAUUAUUAAUCUUCAACGAGGAAUUCCUAGUAAGCAUGUGUCAUCAGCCCGUGCUGAUUACGUCCCUGCCCUUUGUACACACCGCCCGUCGCUACUACCGAUUGAACGGUUUAGUGAGGACCUCGGAUUGGUCUCGGCCCGCUCUUUACCGGGCGGCGCCGUUGGUCGAGAAGACGCUCGAACUUGAUCGUUUAGAGGAAGUAAAAGUCGUAACA
This 333-nucleotide ribosomal RNA is filed under the name uncultured eukaryote. RNAcentral describes it as "partial 18S ribosomal RNA". It matches the Rfam family "Eukaryotic small subunit ribosomal RNA", at positions 1470 to 1796 of the family's 1831-position model. The record is from RNAcentral.